RNAcentral lists this ribosomal RNA (292 nucleotides) under uncultured bacterium. RNAcentral describes it as "partial 16S ribosomal RNA". It matches the Rfam family "Bacterial small subunit ribosomal RNA", at positions 505 to 796 of the family's 1533-position model. The record is from RNAcentral.
GUGUCAGCAGCCGCGGUAAUACGGAGGGUGCAAGCGUUAAUCGGAAUUACUGGGCGUAAAGCGUGCGUAGGCGGUUAUUUAAGUCAGAUGUGAAAGCCCCGGGCUUAACCUGGGAACUGCAUUUGAUACUGGGUAACUAGAGUUGAGUAGAGGAGAGGGGAAUUUCAGGUGUAGCGGUGAAAUGCGUAGAGAUCUGAAGGAACACCAGUGGCGAAGGCGCCUCUCUGGACUCAAACUGACGCUGAGGUACGAAAGCGUGGGUAGCAAACAGGAUUAGAAACCCGCGUAGUCC